Non-coding RNA from Caenorhabditis elegans, 147 nucleotides. The record is from Ensembl. NCBI's taxonomy places the organism in Eukaryota, Metazoa, Nematoda, Chromadorea, Rhabditida, Rhabditidae.
ACUCCCACUUUAACGCAUGUCAUCCAGUGCAGACAUUGGCUAAUGACGAAUCCCAGUAAAAGUGUAAUCGGACUGCGAUCGAAUAAAAAGCGAAAACCAAUCGAGAGUGCGUCGAUGACAUGCGGACAGGAAAAAUAGGGAAGAAGC